UCCGUAGGUGAACCUGCGGAAGGAUCAUUAAAGAGUUGGGGUUCCUUCGGGGCCCGAUCUCCCACCCUUUGUUGUCGCGAAUUUGUUGCCUCGGCGGGUUGUUUCUCCGGAGACGACGGGCUUCUCGCCCACCCGCCGCAGGACCAUUCAAACUCUGCUUUAACAAUGCAGUCUGAGAAGAUUUUAAUAAUAAAUCAAAACUUUCAACAACGGAUCUCUUGGUUCUGGCAUCGAUGAAGAACGCAGCGAAAUGCGAUAAGUAAUGUGAAUUGCAGAAUUCAGUGAAUCAUCGAAUCUUUGAACGCACAUUGCGCCCCUUGGUAUUCCGAGGGGCAUGCCUGUUCGAGCGUCAUUUCACCAAUCAAGCCACGCUUGGUAUUGGGCGCGUGGCCUUUUCUCGGAAAGGCCCGCCCGAAAUGCAUCGGCGAGGAAACCGACCCCCGGCGUGUUAGAUUUCUGAACGUCAGGAGCACCGGUGCCCCCAGCCGUACAAUCUUUUUUCUCAAGGUUGACCUCGGAUCAGGUAGGAAUACCCGCUGAACUUAAGCAUAUCAAUAAGCGGAGGA
RNAcentral lists this ribosomal RNA (566 nucleotides) under Myriangium sp. HK. RNAcentral's name for it is "eukaryotic LSU rRNA". The stretch from base 199 to 352 matches the Rfam family "5.8S ribosomal RNA". Lineage: Eukaryota; Fungi; Ascomycota; Dothideomycetes; Myriangiales; Myriangiaceae. The record is from RNAcentral.